Molecule: small RNA, 36 nt
Filed under: Salix viminalis (osier)
Lineage: Eukaryota; Viridiplantae; Streptophyta; Magnoliopsida; Malpighiales; Salicaceae
Source: RNAcentral
GUUUUUAUCUUUGAAACACACUAUGAAAGAUAGUUU